GUGGGGAAUUUUGGACAAUGGGCGCAAGCCUGAUCCAGCAAUGCCGCGUGUGUGAAGAAGGCCUUCGGGUUGUAAAGCACUUUUGUCCGGAAAGAAAUGGCCUGGGUUAAUACCCCGGGUCGAUGACGGUACCGGAAGAAUAAGCACCGGCUAACUACGUGCCAGCAGCCGCGGUAAUACGUAGGGUGCGAGCGUUAAUCGGAAUUACUGGGCGUAAAGCGUGCGCAGGCGGCGAUGCAAGACAGAUGUGAAAUCCCCGGGCUCAACCUGGGAACUGCAUUUGUGACUGCAUGGCUAGAGUGCGUCAGAGGGGGGUGGAAUUCCGCGUGUAGCAGUGAAAUGCGUAGAGAUGCGGAGGAACACCGAUGGCGAAGGCAGCCCCCUGGGAUGACACUGACGCUCAUGCACGAAAGCGUGGGGAGCAAACAGGAUUAGAUACCCGUGUAGUCC
RNAcentral lists this ribosomal RNA (450 nucleotides) under uncultured bacterium. Its description in RNAcentral is "partial 16S ribosomal RNA". It matches the Rfam family "Bacterial small subunit ribosomal RNA", at positions 354 to 796 of the family's 1533-position model. The record is from RNAcentral.